UACGAGAGGCCCGAGCGUUAAUCGGAAUCACUGGGCUUAAAGGGUGCGUAGGCGGAGUCGUAAGUGUCCUGUGAAAUCCCCCGUCUCAAUCGGGGAACUGCGGGGCAUACUGCGAUUCUUGAGGCGGGUAGGGGUCGUUGGAACGCUAGGUGGAGCGGUGAAAUGCGUAGAUAUCUAGCGGAACGCCGAUGGUGAAAACAGACGACUGGGCCCGUCCUGACGCUGAGGCACGAAAGCGUGGGGAGCAAACAGG
RNAcentral lists this ribosomal RNA (253 nucleotides) under uncultured bacterium. Its description in RNAcentral is "partial 16S ribosomal RNA". It matches the Rfam family "Bacterial small subunit ribosomal RNA", at positions 524 to 776 of the family's 1533-position model. The record is from RNAcentral.